UGUCCUUCUAAGCACACAUGGAAUUGUGGGAAGGACUAUCAGGACUUGCGUGAUUUAAACGUUAGCCAGUGUCCUCACUGCCAAGUGGGAGGUUAUCAGCCCAAGUGAAAGUGCCAGAAAGCCCAGGUUAAAAGCACCACGAAACUCAGUGAAGAAGAGGAAGCAUGAGGAGUAACCCAAAUAAGGGAGGUGUAUGAUCAGAUCAAUAGGUCAGAAAGAUGAUCUUAGCAGCAAUAUUUUGAAUAGACCUGAGGAAGCAAGCUGAAUGUCAGGAAUGGUAGAGAAGCAAAGGUUGCAGUAGUCAAGAUGGCAAAUGAUGGAGAACAAUGGUUAUAUAACGUGCUGGAUUAAAAGACUUACCAGCACUCAGCCCUAUCAUUCCAACAGAAGGCCCUACAUUAGCAUGUAAAUAGCUGGCAGAUACGAGGAAAUGAAAGCAAGGAAGAGCUCUUUAAUUAACUUUAAUCCUCUGCAAAUCCGUACAGCAAUCUGUUCUGACAGUUUUCUACACAGGAUCUUCUUAGGAGGUCCCUCAAUGCUGUCUGUGGAUCCUUGCCAGACCAAAACGAGUGCAGAGAACAAAAAAGGCAACUUUGGAAACAAUAUUUGGACAUUUUUCUGCUAUUAAAUGUUGCCCUGUUGACUGCCAUCUGCUAUUAUCAAACCUGUCAUCAGUCCAAGUCUGGAUGGGAAGCAAAGAUGUCAUCAGCAAGAUGACAGUUCUCAUCAUACCAGUCGGCAAUCCAAUCCUCCUCUGCUUCAGGGGCACCAGCGCCAAAUCCCAUUCACACACACACACACACACACGCAUGCACAUACCAGCCAGCCAGCUAACCAGCCUUUGGUUCCAAGGUGCCAGUACUACACCUCCAUCCUCAGCCUGUAGGAAAGGGAGAUUCCUAGAUACUGAAGAGUGAGGCAGCUUAAUUCUUAUGCUGCCAGAUAAGACCUGUACUGUACCAGGGAUAGUCAAUUAUAUUAUGUCAAGGUCCACAUUUCUUGGUCAAGGUAAUUGCAAGGUACAGACUCCAGAGAAAAUAAUAAAAAUAAUAAUAAUGAUGAUAAGUAGUAAAUAAAAGACUUUGGGGUCCGUUCAAAGGCAUCUGGGGGUCUGGAUUUGGCCCAUAGUCUGCCUAUUCACUACCCCGUUGUAGACAGUCCUCCUGGACUUGGGUAAAAACAAAUAUGACAAUAUAACUAAAACCCAACAAACUGGAAUUGCUCCUCAUAUCUAAGAGGCCAAGAUUAUUCAUUCUACUCUGUACUACAGUAAAUUUAAAACAAAUUUUGAGGGAGGGAGAAGCAGAAGACCAAACAGAAAUGGAGGGCAGUUCUCCGCUCACAAAGCCUUCUGACAAUGGACACUCAUAAAUAACUAAAACCCACUCCCAUAAGUCAGCAGGAUUCCACUUCCAAAGGCCAAUCUAACUGGCUAAAUAUAAGUCACUUGAGAUCUCUGUACCUGUUUCCAAAUACCGUAUUUAGCAGGUCAGAUGGGCCUUUGGAAGUAGAAGCAGCAGGCUUCUCCACACUGCCCAGCCACCAUGUCACAACUCAGAGCUGAAGAGGCCAACUCUAGGGCUGGGUGAGUAGUUAUAUCUCUUUGGACCAUUCAAUCUGAGCCCAGUAAGGGUGCUAGUUACGUCAGUGGUGUUAGCAGUGUUUAUGAUGCGGACAUAAGCCCACCAGGACCCAGAGGCCACCAAAGAGCCAUCAGAAGGGAGCAGCAAUUCUGUUAGAAAUGGAAGGCUCUAUCUGCCAUUCCCAAUACCCUGAGCCAUCCAGUACACCUGGAAUGUCACUUGGUCUGUUUUACACCCAGAAGAUGCAAAGAGUAAAGAAGAAAGCCACAGGAAACAAGAGAAAGACGACGUGCAACAGUGUAUCAGAGAGAAGAAACAGCAUUCAGAUUCAGGAAACAGUUAUACAGCAUCAGUCUGUAACUGUCUCACGCACUGCUUCACCAAGCCCAUCAGUCUCAUCACCAUUUCAUAUUUAUCUGCCAUUCAACCAGCAAUAAGUAUAAAAACCAAAUGUCAAAGUUUGUGGAGUUCUUUUCCCUUCUUUUAUAUGCUGUUCUUUUAUCAACAGCUACCACCUCACUGUAUCCACAGAAUCCACACCAGCUUUCUGUACAAAAAGCAC
Molecule: long non-coding RNA, 2145 nt
Organism: Mauremys reevesii (Reeves's turtle)
Lineage: Eukaryota; Metazoa; Chordata; Testudines; Geoemydidae
Exons: 4
Source: RefSeq, a predicted model, not a curated record